Molecule: long non-coding RNA, 9881 nt
Organism: Equus asinus (donkey)
Lineage: Eukaryota; Metazoa; Chordata; Mammalia; Perissodactyla; Equidae
Source: Ensembl
UGCAUUUCAUUAUCUCCAGCCAAGACCGGACCUUCCCAUCUGGUUAUAAUAGCAAUCUGCCAGGGAGGCCAUGGUUGCAGGUCCAGUUUCCUCCAGUGCUGUGGACACCACUGCUGAUGACAUUGAUGGGAAAGUACUGUUUGCUUCUUAUUCCAGAGUCACACUCUUGGCCACAGGGGACAGGCACUUUGACAGCUCUUGUCACCCAUGUCGGACAGCCACAGUGGUUCACAGUAUCACCAGUGACCUGAGAAUGUGCUUCCCACCUGGACAGGCUUCCCUUUCUGUAUGGGCCCAUUAGUUGGGUCCUCAGCACGGGAGCUAGCAGCCGUUGAGCUCUGAGUAUGUGCAGCGACACUUCAAGUGCAGUCUCAUUUAACUUGUCUUCCUAAUAAUACAUUUCACAGACAAGGAAACAGGCUCAAAUGGUAACACUUCUCCAAGGUCGCUGGGUCUGACUGACCUCACAGGGCAUGUUUCUCACCAUUAAGCAGCACUGCCACCAACACAAGGCAGCCCUUCAUUGUGAUCCUUGGUGAUCUCCACUCUUACCUGCUGCUCCCCCGUUCAAUUAGGGGCUUCUCUCUCUUCCUCCAGGGAGUGUCUGGCUAGUUUCCUCCUCCAGAGGACUGAUGGAUUGGAGGGGCUCUAUUGCUAGGCAAGGAAGAGGCAGACUGUGGUCUCACCUGAUAGCGUCAGAUCAGGUGGACUUCCACAUGAACUGUGAAGAAGACAAAGGCUCCCUCCCCUCCUCUCCACUUUAGUCUUGGGUGUGAGGCAAAGUUUCCUCCCAUGCAGAAGCCAGUGUGCCUGUUAUGUGGGCACAGAGGUGGGAGCCGGGGGUGCCUGCCGGAGGAAGCUGAGGUGUGUUUUGGGGGCUGUGCACAGCUCCAAAGUCCCCAGUCUGAUGCUCUGACCUUCCCACAGCUUCUGCGGGCAACCUAACAAACGCUAUAAAAGCUCCUCUCCUUACACAAGCUCCAGCGGUUCCUGCCGCUGCCAUUGUGACUGAGAAGUUCAUCUGGAUCAGACACAGCCAAGGUUCUCCCUGUGACUCACGGACCUUAGAUGUGCUUUCCUGACUGAGAGGAGAGAACUCCACGCUUGAAGUCUUUCUGGCUUUUGCCUUUAGGAGAAGAGACUUCAUUAUGUGCAUAAACAAAAUGUUUUAAUCAGCAGCAAGAGGAAUACAGAAUCUUCUUCAUCCUAAGAAAAGAUGCCACCUGACUGAGGAAAUGAAUCUCCUAUGUGAAAGGUCUUCUCUCUGCAUCCUUAUCACCAGAGCUGGGGGACUGAUGGCUGAGAAGCUGCAUAAACAAACCUUGCUAAUUUACUAUCUCAUCCUAAAUUCCCCACUAGUUACAUGCCCCACACUCCAGCCAUAAGAACCUAAGAAGGGAAGAAAGGAGAUUUUCCCUGCCCUGACACUGUCCUGGCUGUUGUGAAGACUUUUAAAUCUCCCCUUGGAAGAAGUCCCUUCACAGAUACUGGCAGCCGAGUUCAGCAGGAACAUGAUUUCAUGAAAUAGAAGAGACAAUCUGAAUGAAGCCUCAGAAAUACAAUGUGUGAGAAGGCACUUAGAAGGACGAUCCUAACCAGCUACAAGCCAGAGCUUUUCUGCACAGUGUACUUUCCUUGAAUGGAUGCUACAGAUAUUCUCCCCUAGCUGUAGUAAAAUGUUAAAAAUCUCUCCUAGGAAAAUGUCACCUCCAGCUCCUGUCAGGGUGAGCUCAGCAAUAGUUUUCCUUCAUCACAUGAGAGUGAGCGAUUCUGUGUAGACUGAAUGCCAUGUAUGAAAAGUCAAUUAUGAAGAUGUUACUGAAGAGCCACAAGCUGGAGAUUUUCUACACAGUGUAACCACAUCGACUGAAAGGUACAUAUAAUCUAGCCCAGUUGAAGUGAAAAUUUUUCAAUCUCUCCAUUGAAGCAGCCCCUUCAUAGCUGUGGGCAUCUGAGUUCAGCAGGAGCAUGCUUCCACGACAUGGGAGAGAGCCUGAGGGAAGGCAGUGAACCGCAAUGUGAGCAAAAGCACUUACCAGGAUGAUCCUAAACUGCUAGAAACCAAAGCUGCUCUGCACAGUGGACAUUCCAAGAGUGGAUGUUCUAGAUAUUCUCUCAGCUGUAGUGAAAAGAUUAAAGUUUCUCCCAGGACGAUGUCACUUCCAGCUCUGGCAAGCUGAAUUCAGCAAUAGUUUUCCUUCAUCACAUGCGAGUGAGAGCCUCUGUGUAGACUGAACAGCAAGGCAUUAGAAGUCACUAUUCAAGAUGAUCCUAAAGAGGCACAAUAAAGGGUGUUUCUCCCACAUAAACUCUCAUAAAACAGAUGUUACAGAUUACCUGCUCCCAGUGCAGUGAAUGGCUUUCAGUCUCUCCUUGGAAGAAGUCCAUUCACAGCUUCGGGCAACUCAGUUCAGCAGGAGCAUGCUUUCAAGACACAGGAGAUAGAGCCUGCAUGAGGGGUGUGAACUGCAAUGUGUGUAAAGGAACUUACCAGGAUGAUCUGAAACAGCUACAGGUCAGAGCUUUUCUGCAAAUUGUACUUUCAAUGAAUGGAUAUUAUAGAUAUUCUCUCCCAGCUGUAGUGAAACGGUUAAAAGCUCUCCUAAAAAAUGUUACUUCCACCACCUGGCCACCUGCGCUCAGCCAUAGCUUUCCCUCACCAAGGGCCUGUGAGAGCCUGUGACUAGACUGCUCAGGCCUGAGUUAGAAGACAAUUAUGAAGACGAUGUUAAAGAGCCACAAGCAGGAGUUUGUCUAAACCAUGUACCCUCACUGUACAAAAGUUACAGAUAACCUGUCCUAGAGGUAGUGAAAGGUUUUCAAUCUCUCCUUGGAAGAAGUCCCUUCACAGCUAUGGGCAGUGGAGGGCAGCAGGAGCAUGCUUUCAUGUCAUGGGUUAAGAGCCUGAGGGACGGCCAUGAAUGAGACUCUUACCUACAUGAUCUGAAACAGCUAGAAGCCAGGACGACGCUGCACAGUGUACUUUCCUUGAAUGGAGCUUAUAGAUAGUCUUUCCCAGUUGUAGUGAAAUGUUUAAAAGCUCUCCUAGGAAAAUGUCACUUGUUGCCAUUGGCAAGAUGAGCUAAGUAAUGGUUGUUCUUCAUCACAUGCAUGUGAGAGAGCCUGUGUGUAGACUGCUCGGCAUGGAAUUAAAAUUCAUUUAUGGGGGCCAGUCCCAGGGCCCGGUGGUUAAGUUUGUGUGCUCCAUUUCAGUGGCCCAGGGUUUCAUUAGUUCAGAGUCUGGCCACAGACAUGGCACCACUUGCCAAGCCAUGCUGAGAUAGCAUCCCACAUGGCAGAGCCAGAAGGACCUACAACUAGAAUAUACAACUAUGUACAGGGGGGCUUUGGGGAGAAGAAGAAAAAAAGUCACCUAUGAAUAUGAUUUAAAGAGCCAUGAGCAGGGGUUUUUCUAAAGUGUGUACCCUGUAUGAAAGGCAGAGAUACUCAGUCCCCAUGGUAGUGAACACUUUUCAAUCUCUCCUUGGAAAAAGACCCUUCACAGCUAUGGGCAUCAGAGUUCAGCAGGGACAACCUUGCAUGACAAGGGAGACAGAGCAUCAGUGAACGCCAUGAAGUGCAAUGUAUCAGGUACUUAACUAGAUGAUCUGAAACAGCUUGAAGCCAGGGCAUUUCUGCAAACUGUGCUUCCCUUGAGUGUGUGUUAUAGAUAUUUUUCACAGCCGUGGUGAAAUGCUUAAAAGCUCUUCUGGGAAAAUGUCACUUCCCCCACCUGGGAUGGUUAGGUCACCAACAGUUUUCCUUCAUCACACGCAUGUGAGAGCCUCGAUUUAGACUGCUCAGCAUUGAACCAAAAGUCACUUGUAAAGAUGACAUUAAAGAGCCCAAAGCAGAAGUUUUUCUAAGCCAUGUACCACAUUGUGUGAAAGUUACAGAUAAUCAUUCCCCGUGGCAGGAACAGCUUCUCAGGCUCUCGUUGGAAGGAGUCCCUUCACAGCUAUGGACUGCUGAACGCAGCAGGAACGUGCUUUCACGUCAUGGGAGAGAGAGCCUGAGUGAAGACCCAGAGCUGCAAUGUGUGAUCCACUCACCUGGACGGUCUGAAGCUGCUGGAAGGCAGGGCUUUCUGCACAGUGUAGUUUCCUUGAAUGUGUGUUAGAGAUACUAUUUCCCAGCAGUAGUGAAAUGUUUAAAACCUCUCCUGGGAAAACGUCGCUUCAACCCCUGGCAUGGUGAGGUCAGCAGUAGUUUUCCUUCACCACAUGCGCUUGACAGCCAGCGUCUUGACUGCUAGGCAUAGAAUUAAAAGUCACUUAAGAGAAUGAUACUAAAGAACCACAAGCAUUUAUUAUGCUCAACCACGUACUCGUAUUGUCCGAAAGCAACAAAUAAUCUGUCCCAAGGGUAGAGAAAUGUUCUCAGUCUCUCCUUCGAAGAAUUCUGUUCACAACUACAGACACUUGAGUUCAGCAGGGAAAAUAUUCCAUGACAAGGGAGACAGAUGCCUGAGCGAAGGUUGUGAACUGCAAUAAGUGGGUCGCUUACUUAGAUGAUCUGAAAUGGCUGGAAGCCAGGGCUUUUCUGCAUGGUGCACUUCCCUUGACUAUGUCCUGUAGAUAUUGUGUCCCAGCAGCAGUGAAACAUUUAAAAGCUAGUCAAAUGCCACUUGCAGCUCCUGGGAAGUUGAGCUCAGUAAUAGUUUUCCUUCAUCACAUGCUGCUGAGAGCCUACGUGUCUGCAAGACUGCUCAGCAUUCGGUUAAAUGUCACUUAUGUAGACCAUAUUAAAGACCCACAAGCAGGAGUUUUUCUAAAUCUUAUACCCACAUUGUAGAAAAUUUACAGAUAAUCAUUCCCAUUGGUUGUGAAAGUAUUUCAAGAACUCCUUCGAAGAAGUUUCUUCAGAGCUAUGGAGAGUAGAGUGCACUAGGAACAUGUUUGCCUGUCCUGGGUUAGAAAUCCUGAGUGAAGGCCGUGAACUGCAAUGUGUGAGGCUCUGACCUAGCUGAUCUGAUACAGCUAGAAGGCGGGAUGAUUCUGCACAGCGAAGUUUCCUAGAAGGGAGCUCAUAGAUAUUCUCUCCCAUCUGUAUUGAAAUGUUUAGAAACUCCUCUGGGAAGACGUCACUUCCUCCUCCUGGCGCGGUGAGGUCACUAAUGUUUUCCUUCAUCAAAUGCGUGGGAGAGUCUGUGUCUAGACUGCUCAGCAGUGAAUUAAAAGUGACUUUUGAAGAUGGUAUUAAACAGCCACAAGCAGAUUUUCUAAACUGUGUACCUGCCUAGAAAACAAGUUACAUAUAAUCAUUCCCAGAGGCAGUGAAGGCUUUUCAAUCUCUCCGUGGAAGAAGUCCCUUCAUAGUGAUGGAGAGCAAAGUGCAACAGGAACAUGUUUUCAUGGCGUGGGAGAGAAAGCCUGAGUGAAGGCCACGAAAUGCAAUGUGUGAGGCUCCGCCCUAGAUGAUCUGAUACAGCUGGAAGCCGGGGCUAUUCUGCACAGUGUACUUUCCUCGAAUGGAGCUUAUAGAUAUUCUCUCCCAGCUGUACUUAAAUGCAUGAAACGUCUCCUGGGAUAAUGUCACGUGAACCUCCUGGUGUGGUGAUGUCACAAUAGUUUUCCUUCAUCACAUCCGUGUGAGAGCCUGUGUCUAGACUGCUCCGCACUGAAUUCAAAGUCACUCUUGAAGACGAUGUUCAAGAGCCACAAGCAGGAGUUCUUCUGAACCGUGUACCCGCAUUGUAUAAAGUUAGAGACAUUCGGUGGCUGCGCUAGUGAGCAGUUUUCAGUCUCUCCCUGGGAGAAGUCCCUUCACAGACACAGGCAACUGAGUGCAGUAGGAACCUGCUUUCAUGACAUAGGAGGGAGCCUGGGCGAAGGCUGAGAACUGCGAUGUGUGAGGCACUUACCUAGAUGAUCCAAAAGAGCUAGAAGCCGGGGCUGUUCUGCACAAUGUACUUUCGUUCAAUGUGUGUGAUAGAAGUUGUCUCCCAGCAGUAUUGAAAUGUUUCAAAGCUCUCCUAGUCAAAUGUCACUUGCAGUUCCUGGCAAGCUCAGCUCAGAGAUAGUUUUCUCUCAUCACAUGCCUGUGAGAGCCUGUGUGUAGACUGCUCAGCGCUGGAUUAAAAGUCACUCAUGAAGAUGAUAUUACAGAGCCACAAGGAGAAGUUUUUCUAAGCCAUGAACCCGCAUUGAAUGAAAGUUACUGAUAAUCUCUCCCAGCGGUAGGAAGGGGUUUUCAAUCCCUCCUUGGAAGAAGUCCCUUCACAGCUGUGGGCAGAUGAGUGCAGCAGGAACACGCUUUCACGCCAUGGGAGACAGCCUGAGGGAGGCCAUGAUCUGCCAUGCGUGGAAAGGAAGUUACCAGGAUGAUCCUCAGAGCUACCGGCUGGAGGUUUUACACACAGAGCACUUUCCUUGAAUGUGUGCGAUAGAGACGCUCUCCCAGCCUUGUGAAAUGUUUAAAAGCUCCCCUGGGAAAAAGUCAGUUUCACCUCUUGACGUGGUGAGGUCAGCAGGUUUUCCUUCAUGACAUGCAUUUGACAGCCAGUGUCUUGAGUGCUUGGCAUAGAAUUAAAAGUGACUUAAAAACUAUAUUAAAGAGCCACAAGCAGUUGUUCUAAACUGUGUACCCACACUGUCCAAAAGUAACAGCUAAACUGUCCCAGAGAGAGGGAAAGGUUUUCAAUCUCUCCUUGGAAGAAAUCCCUCCACAACUAUGGGCAUCUGAGUUCAGCAGGGACAGUCUUUCCUGACACGGGAGGCAGAGCCUGAGUGUAGGCCGUGAACUGCAGUGUGUGAGGCCCUUACCUAGAUGAUCUGAAACAGCUGGAAGCCAGGGUUUUCGGCACAGUGUACUUACUUCCUUACACAGUGGACUAGAAUAAAGGAAACCUCAUUUUAAAUGAGAUUGGGAGGCUAGAAGGGGGAGCCUUCAUGCACUACCACUUGAUAUCAAUUACAGAAAGAAUCAUCAAUUACAGACCCCAACAGGAAAAUAUGUCCAUUGCAUUCCCAACAAGAAAUUGACUACCCCAGCAACUCAGCCCAGGAGAAAUCAUCACCACCGUGAACUCUCACUUGCUACAAAUGGCCUUUUGUUCAAAACAACCCCUCCCAACUUACUCCUUUUUCUCUAUAAAAUAACAUUUCUCUCCUUUGUGUGCUGAACUUGCCUAUGGCUUUUGCUAUAGUUUGUCCUGAAUUGUAAUUCUUCUGCUAUUCUUGAAUAAACCCCUUUUGCUGGUGAAAUAACAGGCUGUUUUAUUUGCUUAGGUCAACAGUAUGUAAAAUGGAAUAGUCUUAAAAAAGGAAAUUCUUAAAAAAAGGAAAUUCUGUUACGUGUUAAAACAUAGAUGAACCUUGAAGACAUUAUGUUAAGUGAAAGAAGCCAGACACAAAAGGACAAAUAUUGUAUGAUUCCACUAAUAUGAGGUACCUAGAAUAGUCAAAUUCAGAGACAGAAAGUAGCACAGUGGCUACCGGAGGCUGGGGGAAGGAGAAGAUGGGGAGUUAGUGUUUAAUUGAUACAGAGUUUCAGUUUGAAUGAUGAAAGUUCUGGAGAUGGAUGGUAGUGAUUGCACAACAAGGUGAAUGUAUUCAAUGCCACUUGACUGUACACUUUAAAGUGGUAAAUUUUAUGUUAUGUAUAUUUUACCACACACAAAAUACCUGCCUCUCAGCUUCUGUAGACCAGAUUUGCUCCCAAGACCCAGAGUCAAUUCUGAAAUACGUUUCUGGAUUCACACUUUCUCAUCAUUUCUGGCUUCUCUAGAUUUUCUUUGCUUGUCCCAUCAGAGUAGUAAAUCUAAUUUUUUCUGUAUCCAUCAUUUAGGAAAAUCUUUAUUGGAAGGAUAUCAGAGGAAAUCUAGUCCCUCGUAUUGCCAGAAACAAAAGUCCCUUUGCAUGAGUUUAAAAGGGAGGUGAAAUAGUUAUAUUGAUAUUUUUAAACAAUCGUGCCACCUGUUGACAGUAAGUGUAAGAGAGUUGAAGCAGAGAGGUCAGAAGAUGCCUCUGUGGUUUUUUGGAGAUAUGAUGGUCCCUGGGACUAGCCUGGCAGUGUUAGCAUUAGAGGGACGUGGUCAUUUUGCAGAUUUAACAGGUGAGAUAUAUUGAGUAGAUGUGGCGGACGUGGGAGAUAGAAGAACCAUGGUUACUAUCUGUAUUUUCAUGGAUGGUGGUACCAUCUACUGAGAGGAAAAUUACCAGAGAGUAGUAAGUUGGGCAUGGGAGGAAUCUGGAGUUGUUUUUCUCAUAUUACAUUGGAAAUGCAUAUUUGAUGUCCUUGGAGACAGAUGGAAUGGUUAAUUGGAUGGGUCUGCAGCUCCAAAGCUGGAGAUGUGGAUUUGGACAUCAUUAACACAUAGCUAAUGCACACUGCUAACCAUCUGACUGGGUGAGGUGAGCUAGACCAAGUAUGGAGACAGAGAAAGAAGGGGUCCAGGUCAGAGCCCCGAGUACCUCCAAAGCUUAGAGGAGCCAGAAAAUGGCACUAGUUUCUUUCCCAGAUGCACUCCCAAGCACAAACACUGAUCCUUCAGAUCAGUUUUAUAAGCACAUGCAUAUUCUUAAAAAUUAUUUUUGACUUUUUAUUGUGUGAUUGACAUUUGUGUACUGACUUACUCUGCAGCUUAUUUUUUUGACUCAAUAGUAUGCCUUGUAGAUCUUAACACACUUAUUCUUGUAUCAAUACAAUAAUAAUCUUAGAAUAUUUUUUCAUAACUUGUAUUGCAGAACCCUUUUAUUUUUGUUCACUCCAAGAAUUCUUUGUUCUCCUUGCUCUUUCACUCUUCCAUAUGUAGUUAAGUAUUAGCUGGUGAAGACUCAUGAAAAAUGCUUUUCUUGGGAAUUGCAUUCAACUAACAUUAAUUUAGAGACAACUCAUGCUCACAAUAACAUUCUCUUCCUAGUUACUUAGGAACACUACUCAUUUUAUUUUGUAUUAUUUUAUACACUUUUUUGUUGUUUCAGAGUUUUUGCCCCACAAAUCUGACAUAUUUCUCAUUCAGCUUCUUCUUGGACCUUUUGCAUGAUUGCUUGUUAUUGCAGAUGAUAGCUCUUUUUUUUUUUUUAAAAAGAUUGGCACCUGAGCUAACAACUGUUGCCAAUCUUCUUUUUUCUUUUUCUGCUUUUUCUCCCCAAAUCCCCCUAGUACAUAGUUGCAGAUUUUGGUUGCAGGUCCUUCUAGUUGUGGCAUAUGGGAUGCCACCUCAGCGUGGCCUGAUGAGCUGUGCCAUGUUCAAAUCCAGGAUCUGAACAGUUGAAACUCUGGGCGGCCACAGUGGAGAACGCGAACUUCACCACUUGGCCAUGGGGCGGCCCCAGAUGAUAGCUUUUUAAAAAAACAGUAGAAUUUUUUGGGAGCAGAUUUAGGUUUAUGGAAAAAUUGAGCAGAAAGCACAAAGAGUUUCAAUAUACCCCAUUGCCCUCCCCCCAUUUCCCCUUUCAUUAAUGUGUUGCAUUACUGUGGUACAUUUGUCACAGUUUAUAAGCCAGUAUUGAUACAUUGUUUUUAACUAAAGUCCAUAAUAUACAUUAGGGUUCACUCUUUGUGCUGUACAUUCCAUGGGUUUGGACAAAUAUAGAAUGAGAUAUAUCCUCCAUUACAGUGUCAUACAGGAUAGUUUCACUGCCCUAAAGAUCCCCUGAGCCCUCCUCUUCACCCCUCUCUCCCUGAGAACCUAGCUGAUCUUUUUAUUGUCUCCAUAGUUUUGCCUUUUCCAGAAUGUCAUCUGGGUGGAGUCCUACGGUACGUACCUCUCUCAGAUUGGCUUCUUUCACUUAGCAACAUGCAUUUAAGGUUCAUCCAUGUCUUUUUGUGGUUUGAUAGUUCACUUCCUCUUAGCACUGAAUAAUAUUUCAUUAUGUGGUAUGGCUAUAUCACAAUUUGUUUAUCUCUUUACGUACUGAAAGAUAUCUUGUUUUUUU